RNAcentral lists this ribosomal RNA (245 nucleotides) under uncultured Bacillus sp. RNAcentral's name for it is "partial 16S ribosomal RNA". It matches the Rfam family "Bacterial small subunit ribosomal RNA", at positions 524 to 768 of the family's 1533-position model. The record is from RNAcentral. Lineage: Bacteria; Bacillati; Bacillota; Bacilli; Caryophanales; Bacillaceae.
UACGUAGGUGGCAAGCGUUAUCCGGAAUUAUUGGGCGUAAAGCGCGCGCAGGCGGUUUCUUAAGUCUGAUGUGAAAGCCCACGGCUCAACCGUGGAGGGUCAUUGGAAACUGGGGAACUUGAGUGCAGAAGAGAAAAGCGGAAUUCCACGUGUAGCGGUGAAAUGCGUAGAGAUGUGGAGGAACACCAGUGGCGAAGGCGGCUUUUUGGUCUGUAACUGACGCUGAGGAGCGAAAGCGUGGGGAG